This 1545-nucleotide ribosomal RNA is filed under the name Pseudomonocelis cf. cavernicola DS-2009. RNAcentral describes it as "eukaryotic LSU rRNA". It matches the Rfam family "Eukaryotic large subunit ribosomal RNA", at positions 123 to 1454 of the family's 3401-position model. Lineage: Eukaryota; Metazoa; Platyhelminthes; Proseriata; Monocelididae. The record is from RNAcentral.
UGCAGCCUUGCGCUGUUAGGAACUGUGGUGUUUAGGACUUCGCUUAGGCUUGAUGGCUCACCUAAAGUUCACUUGAUUGUGACUCUAGGCCCAGAGAGGGUGUAAGGCCCGUCUGGGUGAGCUGUCUUGUUUUUGCGUUGUCCAUAGAGUCGGGUUGUUUGAGAUUGCAGCCCAAAGUGGGUGGUAAACUCCAUCUAAGGCUAAAUACUGAACACUAGUCCGAUAGUCAACAAGUACCGUGAGGGAAAGUUGAAAAGAACUUUGAAGAGAGAGUUCAAUAGUGCGUGAAGCUGUCUAGAGGUAAACGAGUGGGGCCGAAAUUGGCAUUGAGGAUUCAGCUAGACAAGGCUACGGCGGUGUGUUGUUAUCGACUCUAAUUAGGGGCGAUGCAUGCAUAGUGUUCUGUAGUUUUGUUGGUGCACUUUCUCAGUGUCAUCACCAUGACCGGCAUUCUGAUAGUCUGUCAUUGGGCGGUGGUAGCGUCGACUUCGGUUGGCGUGAAACGUCUGAUAUGGAACUGUUGGGUUGCUGUUUCUGCGAUGCAAGAUUUGAAGCGUGCAUGGCUGGAUUGGAUUGAGGCUGCUUCGGGUGGACUUCAUAAGAAGACCAUCUGAGGUGGCUUUAGUUUGAUUAGUCCUCUGCUGUUUGCAUCAAUAGUCUAUGGUUUUAAAGUAGGCAACCUACUCGACCCGUCUUGAAACACGGACCAAGGAGUCUAGCAUGUGCGCGAGUCAUUGGGCGUUACGAAACCCAUAGGCGAAGUGAAAGCAAAGGUCUGCUUUAAUCAGGCUUAGAUGUGAUCCCGGUAGUCUAUCAAGACUCCGGGCGCAACAUCGGCCCGUCCCAUUAUUUGUAUUAAUAGGGGCGGAGCAAGAGCGUACAUGCUGAAACCCGAAAGAUGGUGAACUAUGCUUGCGCAGGUUGAAGCCAGAGGAAACUCUGGUGGAGGACCGUAGCGAUUCUGACGUGCAAAUCGAUCGUCAGACGUGAGUAUAGGGGCGAAAGACUAAUCGAACCAUCUAGUAGCUGGUUCCCUCCGAAGUUUCCCUCAGGAUAGCUGGCAUGCAUGAUAAUAAACAGUUUUAUCCGGUAAAGCGAAUGAUUAGAGGUAUUGGGGACGAAAUGUCCUCAACCUAUUCUCAAACUUUAAAUGGGUGAGAUGCUGAACUCUCUUAAUUGGAGUUUCGGCAUUGAAUGUGUGUGCCAAGUGGGCCAUUUUUGGUAAGCAGAACUGGCGCUGUGGGAUGAACCAAACGUCUGGUUAAGGUGCCUAACACAACGCUAAUGAGAUACCACAAAAGGUGUUGGUUGAUAUAGACAGCAGGACGGUGGCCAUGGAAGUUGGAAUCCGCUAAGGAGUGUGUAACAACUCACCUGCCGAAUCAACCAGCCCUGAAAAUGGAUGGCGCUUAGCGUUGAACCUAUACCAGACCAACACUGUGAGUAUAAUUAAUUUAAAGCAGUGUUGAGUAGGAGGGUCGCCGUGGUGAGCGUUGAAGCUUAGUCUGUGAAGACUGGUGGAGCCGCCACGGGUGCAGAUCUUGG